Molecule: ribosomal RNA, 67 nt
Filed under: Lasius niger
Lineage: Eukaryota; Metazoa; Arthropoda; Insecta; Hymenoptera; Formicidae
Source: RNAcentral
GUCAACGGUCAUACCACGUUGUAAAGCACCAGUUCUCGUCCGAUCACUGAAGUUAAGCAACAUUGGG